RNAcentral lists this ribosomal RNA (521 nucleotides) under uncultured Glomeraceae. RNAcentral's name for it is "SSU rRNA". It matches the Rfam family "Eukaryotic small subunit ribosomal RNA", at positions 569 to 1092 of the family's 1831-position model. Lineage: Eukaryota; Fungi; Glomeromycota; Glomeromycetes; Glomerales; Glomeraceae. The record is from RNAcentral.
AGCAGCCGCGGUAAUUCCAGCUCCAAUAGCGUAUAUUAAAGUUGCUGCAGUUAAAAAGCUCGUAGUUGAAUUUCGGGACCACUAUGUCGGUCGUGCUUCGGUACGUACUGUCAUUAUUGGUUUCUCCCUUCUGAAGAACCUUGAUGUCAUUAAUUUGGUGUCUUGGGGAAUCAGGACUGUUACUUUGAAAAAAUUAGAGUGUUUAAAGCAGGCUCGCGCUUGAAUACAUUAGCAUGGAAUAAUGAAAUAGGACGUUUGAUUCUAUUUUGUUGGUUUCUAGGAUCGACGUAAUGAUUAAUAGGGAUAGUUGGGGGCAUUAGUAUUCAAUUGUCAGAGGUGAAAUUCUUGGAUUUAUUGAAGACUAACUACUGCGAAAGCAUUUGCCAAGGAUGUUUUCAUUAAUCAAGAACGAAAGUUAGGGGAUCGAAGACGAUCAGAUACCGUCGUAGUCUUAACCAUAAACUAUGCCGACUAGGGAUCGGAUGAUGUUAAUUUUUUAAUGACUCAUUCGGCGCCUUACG